CUUCAGUCUCUGCUUUUGUGUUCAUGAAUUGGAAUGUGUGUUGUUCUCAGCUGAACUUCUAUGCUUCUGUGUUUCACAGCAAUUAACAUCCCUGACAUCCUAUCUCAAGAUAAGAUUUUCAUCUCAGAAGAUUCAUAGGAAGUGAAUUGCAGUCUCAUAAUUAAGUCAGCUUUUUGAUAAUGACCCAUUCUAACAAGGGCUAAAGGAAGCCCAUUUCUUUCCAGUUACUAGCCUCGCUAGUCUUUGCAAUUUACAUAAUAAGUGGAGUGCUAUCAACAACAUCACCUGAGUAUCUCAAGAUUUUGAAGGUUUUUGGAAAGCUAAUUAGCUAGAUAUAAGUAACCCAAGUCAUCUUGGAAGAAUGGGAAGUAGCUGCAGUAUGCAGACUUAAUGUACAGUGUUUUGUUUUUAAUUAGACUUUAUAUGUGAAACAGUCAAGGAUUUAUAAGGAAAAGGUGAGAGGAUCUGGAAAGUCCUGAAAGUUCCUCAUGAGUGUAGCUUGGCAUGGUGUUCAUGUUCUGUGCCAAAGCGUGUGUUAGCAACAGCAUGUCUGCUGUCUCACUAUUCACGUGGUGGUUGUAUCCAUCCUUUGUUCAUUCAAAAAGAACAGUCAAGUUUCUGCUUUCCUGUCUGCCCAGAAGAUAUUUCUCUGCUCCCUAAGUACACACAGAAGGUACCACAGACACCCAAAUUCUGCAAGGCAGAUUUAAGACCCCAUUUGCCCAAAGGAAAUUUGCAGCUGGAUAUCAGAGUGCAACUCUGAGGACAACACUGGAGAUUUCAGGUUCAGAGAAGCAGAACAUACCCAUCCUCUACAUCCUAUGCAGUUGGCUUGCUCCCAAGACUAUACUGAGAUCUUUCUAAAUGGCAUUGCUACAGACAGUAGAGAUUUAUUUAAAAUACUUCUGAUAGGAAGCAUGUCAAAAGCACUUCUCUACUGCUUGAGAAUGACAGCUGCAAAUUGAUAUCUGGAUCUUUCACCAGCUGGAGGUCCCUGACCUGUUCUGUGUGAGAAGACUACACAGGACAAAUAUCCUUUUCUUUUAUGACUUUAAUAGCUUUGGACUCUAUAAGAUGAAAAUUGAAAGUUUAGUGUGAAUAGCAUUUGGUAAAAGUCAAUUAAUAUGUGUUGCAACUAGAGUUUAGAGAAAACAACUCAACCCAAAAGAAUUUAAAAGUGGAACAUACUAACCAUUUAUUUAUUUAUUUAUUUAUUUAUUUAUUUUUCUCAUCACUGUGUAAGCUAGCACAUCUGACAAAGAAAGUUUGGAGGAUAAAAGAAGUUGAAAUAUCGUCUUCCUGGUGCAUUUGACUGAUUCUUUCCAAACUUUAGUUUUAUUACUGAGGGUUCCAGGUUUUAUUUUAUUUAGCACUUGAAUAUUUUAUGUUCAGUAUUAGUCUUCCCUUCAAGUGACUGGGCUUAUGUACAAGUUUUUAUUUGCAGAACAGUGUCCAGCUGGCCACAUGGAGACUGAAUGAGAGCUCUGUUGGUUACAUAUUUCAAGUUCAAGUUAAUCUUUAA
Molecule: long non-coding RNA, 1522 nt
Filed under: Anas platyrhynchos platyrhynchos (common mallard)
Lineage: Eukaryota; Metazoa; Chordata; Aves; Anseriformes; Anatidae
Description: lncRNA (ENSAPLG00000024079.1)
Source: RNAcentral